GAUGAACGCUGGCGGCGUGCCUAAUACAUGCCAGUCGAGCGAACAGACGAGGAGCUUGCUCCUCUGACGUUAGCGGCGGACGGGGGAGUAACACGUGGAUAACCUACCUAUAAGACUGGGAUAACUUCGGGAAACCGGAGCUAAUACCGGAUAAUAUAUUGAACCGCAUGGUUCAAUAGUGAAAGACGGUUUUGCUGUCACUUAUAGAUGGAUCCGCGCCGCAUUAGCUAGUUGGUAAGGUAACGGCUUACCAAGGCGACGAUGCGUAGCCGACCUGAGAGGGUGAUCGGCCACACUGGAACUGAGACACGGUCCAGACUCCUACGGGAGGCAGCAGUAGGGAAUCUUCCGCAAUGGGCGAAAGCCUGACGGAGCAACGCCGCGUGAGUGAUGAAGGUCUUCGGAUCGUAAAACUCUGUUAUUAGGGAAGAACAAAUGUGUAAGUAACUAUGCACGUCUUGACGGUACCUAAUCAGAAAGCCACGGCUAACUACGUG
This 497-nucleotide ribosomal RNA is filed under the name uncultured bacterium. RNAcentral's name for it is "partial 16S ribosomal RNA". It matches the Rfam family "Bacterial small subunit ribosomal RNA", at positions 28 to 507 of the family's 1533-position model. The record is from RNAcentral.